CUCACUGAAGUGCUGCCGACCACGUGUUCCUCCGCUCUCCCGGCCGCCAUUCCCGCCGUGCUGGAGCCCUCCUCUGGGGUACCUGUGCUGCCUGCCGCCAUCUUGGGUGGGGCGCGUUUUCCAGCAGGCCCGCGCUUUGCGGCCGUCCUCGCCUGACCGGCACCGCGGCGCACAGGCGGCGCCGGCCGCUUCCCAGUGCUGUCCGAC
Molecule: non-coding RNA, 207 nt
Organism: Pelobates cultripes (western spadefoot toad)
Lineage: Eukaryota; Metazoa; Chordata; Amphibia; Anura; Pelobatidae
Source: the annotation of a GenBank genome assembly